RNAcentral lists this ribosomal RNA (485 nucleotides) under uncultured bacterium. RNAcentral describes it as "bacterial SSU rRNA". It matches the Rfam family "Bacterial small subunit ribosomal RNA", at positions 28 to 507 of the family's 1533-position model. The record is from RNAcentral.
GAUGAACGCUAGCUACAGGCUUAACACAUGCAAGUCGAGGGGCAGCACAGUGUAGCAAUACACGGGUGGCGACCGGCGCACGGGUGCGUAACGCGUAUCCAACCUUCCCGUUACUCUUGGAUAGCCUUCCGAAAGGGAGAUUAAUACAAGAUGGUAUUCAAAUUCCGCAUGUUAUUUGAAUUAAAGAUUUAUCGGUAACGGAUGGGGAUGCGUGACAUUAGAUAGUAGGCGGGGUAACGGCCCACCUAGUCUACGAUGUCUAGGGGUUCUGAGAGGAAGGUCCCCCACACUGGAACUGAGACACGGUCCAGACUCCUACGGGAGGCAGCAGUGAGGAAUAUUGGUCAAUGGUCGGAAGACUGAACCAGCCAAGUAGCGUGAAGGAUGAAGGUUCUAUGGAUUGUAAACUUCUUUUAUACGGGAAUAAAACCUCCACGUGUGGGAGCUUGUAUGUACCGUAUGAAUAAGCAUCGGCUAACUCCGUG